AAAAACUUUAACCUGAAAUUUGCACUAUCAUUUUCUAUGUUCAGUGAACCGUAAAAUUGGGGUCAAAACUCUAAUUUGGCAUUUAAAUUAGAAAGAUCAUAUCAUAGGGCACAUGUAUACUAAGUUUCAAGUUGAUUGGACUUCAACUUCAUCAAAAACUACUUGACAAAAACUUUAACCUGAAGCAAAAACUUUAACUGAAAUUUGCACUAUCAUUUUCUAUGUUCAGUGAACCGUAAAAUUGGGGUCAAAACUCUAAUUUGGCAUUAAAAUUAGAAAGAUCAUAUCAUAGGGGACAUGUGUACUAAGUUUGAAGUCGAUUGGACUUAAACUUCAUCAAAAACUACCUUGACCAAAAACUUUAACCUGAAGCGGGACAGACGGACGGACGAACGAACAGACGGACGGACGAACAGACAGACGGACGGACGAACAGACGGACGGACGAACAGACAGACGGACGCACAGACCAGAAAACAUAAUGCCCCUCUACUAUCGUAGGUGGGGCAUAAAAAGAGAUGUG
RNAcentral lists this long non-coding RNA (523 nucleotides) under Mytilus galloprovincialis (Mediterranean mussel). The record is from RNAcentral. Lineage: Eukaryota; Metazoa; Mollusca; Bivalvia; Mytilida; Mytilidae.